GGCAUACCAGUUGAGGGUGCAGAGGUGCACACAAGGGAGUUAUGAAAUUGUUUGUGGGAUUUGAGGCAGCGUGGUCUCGUGAUUCAGGGUCACUUACGUGAGUGCGGAUUGAGUUCGCUAUGUGUUGAAUGGAACCAUUAGUCCAAGGCAAUUGAGGUUAAGUUAGAAGAAGUAGAUUGGUUAGCCAUGAUUGAAUUGGUAUGAUGAUGACUAUGACUAGUACCCUUAGUGUUAUCAAGUCAUGCAAGUGAUUUGUGACGGUGCAUGUGAGGAUUGUCAGCCGUCAUAAUUGAUGUUAUUCAAAAGCAUUCUAAAGUUAUGGCUUGUUAUGUGGCCUCGCUACUUAGAGAUUUGCAUAUUUUACAGUUAUAAGAAUUCACCUGUGUAUUGCUAGGGUCAUCCGGAAGUGAGUUAAGUGAAAAUUUUAUAUGAUGAAGUGUUAAUCAAAUGGUGGUUCCGUAGCCGUGAUGAAAAAUGUGUUCUAUCAUAUAUUGGCAAGUUGGGUGCAUCAAGUGGUAUGAAAUUUGAAGUGAACAUCAAGGUUGCAGUUCGGUAUUCGGAUGAGUAGGAAAUGAGUUUCGAUGUUUAAUGUAAGUUGGUUUUGUCAUCUGCAUCACCUGAGAUCGGUGUUUUGUGGAAAAGUCUUUGCAUCCUGGUUAAUGAUUCUUGGUCGCUUUUCAGCGUUAGUGCAGCCGGUGGUUUGGCGGUAUGACCUAGUUAUUACUUAUGGUAGGUUGUGGGAGCGUGUCCUACGGGAAGAUUGUAUAAGUGUGGCAUGUAGUCACUUGAUUGAUUAAAG
Molecule: long non-coding RNA, 799 nt
Filed under: Nicotiana benthamiana
Lineage: Eukaryota; Viridiplantae; Streptophyta; Magnoliopsida; Solanales; Solanaceae
Description: long non-coding RNA (NBEN_LNC015007)
Source: RNAcentral